UUUGGGAGCUUGCUCCCGAUGAGAGUGGCGCACGGGUGCGUAACACGUAUGUAACCUACCUUUAUCAGGGGGAUAGCCUCUCGAAAGAGAGAUUAAGCCCGCAUAACAUCACGGGAUAGCAUUAUACUGUGAUCAAAUAUUUAUAGGAUAAAGAUGGGCAUGCGGAACAUUAGCUAGUUGGCGGGGUAAUGGCCCACCAAGGCUUUGAUCGGUAGCCGGCCUGAGAGGGCGCACGGCCACACUGGAACUGAAACACGGUCCAGACUCCUACGGGAGGCAGCAGUGGGGAAUUUUGCGCAAUGGGGGAAACCCUGACGCAGCAACGCCGCGUGGAGGAUGAAGUCCCUUGGG
This 351-nucleotide ribosomal RNA is filed under the name uncultured bacterium. RNAcentral's name for it is "bacterial SSU rRNA". It matches the Rfam family "Bacterial small subunit ribosomal RNA", at positions 71 to 422 of the family's 1533-position model. The record is from RNAcentral.